ACCCUGUGAAGGUAAUAAAAGUAAGCAAGAUGGGCACAGCCCAGAACGUCAGGUCAAGGUGUAGCAUAUGAAAUGGAAAGAAAUGGGCUACAUUUUCUACCACAGAACACCACGAAUAUGCACCAUGAAACAGUGCUUGAAGGAGGAUUUAGCAGUAAAAGAGAAUCAGAGUGUCUCUUUGAAUCCGGCUCUGAGACGCGUACACACCGCCCGUCACUCUCCCCGCAAAUGCACCAAAACAUACCUAAUACCAUAGCACACAUAAGGGGAGGCAAGUCGUAACACGGUAAGUGUACCGGAAGGUGCACUUGGACCAACC
RNAcentral lists this ribosomal RNA (319 nucleotides) under Osteobrama cotio cotio. RNAcentral's name for it is "partial 12S ribosomal RNA". It matches the Rfam family "Bacterial small subunit ribosomal RNA", at positions 1252 to 1528 of the family's 1533-position model. The record is from RNAcentral. Lineage: Eukaryota; Metazoa; Chordata; Actinopteri; Cypriniformes; Cyprinidae.